UAGCAGAGGGUGCGAGCGUAAUCGGAAUUACUGGGCGUAAAGCGUGCGUUAGACGGUGAGCGAUAAGUCAGAUGUGAAAGCCCCGGGCUCAACCUGGGAAUGGCAUUUGAGACUGCUCUGCUCGGGUGCGGAAGAGGGAAGCGGAAUUUCCGGUGUAGCGGUGAAAUGCGUAGAUAUCGGAAGGAACACCAGUGGCGAAAGCGG
This 204-nucleotide ribosomal RNA is filed under the name uncultured bacterium. RNAcentral's name for it is "partial 16S ribosomal RNA". It matches the Rfam family "Bacterial small subunit ribosomal RNA", at positions 523 to 724 of the family's 1533-position model. The record is from RNAcentral.